CUUAAGCAUAUCAAUAAGCGGAGGAAAAGAAACCAACAGGGAUUGCCCUAGUAACGGCGAGUGAAGCGGCAACAGCUCAAAUUUGAAAUCUGGCUCUUUUAGAGUCCGAGUUGUAAUUUGCAGAGGGCGCUUUGGCUUUGGCAGCGGUCCAAGUUCCUUGGAACAGGACGUCACAGAGGGUGAGAAUCCCGUACGUGGUCGCUGGCUAUUGCCGUGUAAAGCCCCUUCGACGAGUCGAGUUGUUUGGGAAUGCAGCUCUAAAUGGGAGGUACAUUUCUUCUAAAGCUAAAUAUUGGCCAGAGACCGAUAGCGCACAAGUAGAGUGAUCGAAAGAUGAAAAGCACUUUGGAAAGAGAGUCAAACAGCACGUGAAAUUGUUGAAAGGGAAGCGCUUGCAGCCAGACUUGCUUACAGUUGCUCAUCCGGGCUUUUGCCCGGUGCACUCUUCUGUAGGCAGGCCAGCAUCAGUUUGGGCGGUAGGAUAAAGGUCUCUGUCACGUACCUCUCUUCGGGGAGGCCUUAUAGGGGAGACGACAUACUACCAGCCUGGACUGAGGUCCGCGCAUCUGCUAGGAUGCUGGCGUAAUGGCUGUAAGCGGCCCGUCUUGAAACACGGACCAAGGAGUCUAACAUCUAUGCGAGUGUUUGGGUGUCAAGCCCGAGCGCGUAAUGAAAGUGAACGGAGGUAGGAACCCGCAAGGGUGCACUAUCGACCGAUCCUGAUGUCUUCGGAAGGAUUUGAGUAAGAGCAUGGCUGUUGGGACCCGAAAGAUGGUGAACUAUGCUUGAAUAGGGUGAAGCCAGAGGAAACUCUGGUGGAGGCUCGCAGCGGUUCUGACGUGCAAAUCGAUCGUCAAAUUUGGGCAUAGGGGCGAAAGACUAAUCGAACUAUCUAGUAGCUGGUUCCUGCCGAGUC
This 916-nucleotide ribosomal RNA is filed under the name Alternaria sp. RNAcentral's name for it is "partial large subunit ribosomal RNA". It matches the Rfam family "Eukaryotic large subunit ribosomal RNA", at positions 33 to 967 of the family's 3401-position model. The record is from RNAcentral. Lineage: Eukaryota; Fungi; Ascomycota; Dothideomycetes; Pleosporales; Pleosporaceae.